GAUGAACGCUGGCGGCGUGCCUAAUACAUGCAAGUCGAGCGAACAGAUAAGGAGCUUGCUCCUUUGACGUUAGCGGCGGACGGGUGAGUAACACGUGGGUAACCUACCUAUAAGACUGGGAUAACUUCGGGAAACCGGAGCUAAUACCGGAUAAUAUUUCGAACCGCAUGGUUCGAUAGUGAAAGAUGGUUUUGCUAUCACUUAUAGAUGGACCCGCGCCGUAUUAGCUAGUUGGUAAGGUAACGGCUUACCAAGGCGACGAUACGUAGCCGACCUGAGAGGGUGAUCGGCCACACUGGAACUGAGACACGGUCCAGACUCCUACGGGAGGCAGCAGUAGGGAAUCUUCCGCAAUGGGCGAAAGCCUGACGGAGCAACGCCGCGUGAGUGAUGAAGGUCUUCGGAUCGUAAAACUCUGUUAUUAGGGAAGAACAUAAGUGUAGGUAACUGUGCACGUCUUGACGGUACCUAAUCAAAAAGCCACGGCUAACUACGUG
RNAcentral lists this ribosomal RNA (497 nucleotides) under uncultured bacterium. Its description in RNAcentral is "partial 16S ribosomal RNA". It matches the Rfam family "Bacterial small subunit ribosomal RNA", at positions 28 to 507 of the family's 1533-position model. The record is from RNAcentral.